ACCAUCAUUGCGUAUCUGUCUUCCUGUUCCUGUGUGCAUGCAUUAUUAUUGUUGUUUAAAGGAAAUCCAUCCCCCGAAGCAACCCAGAACCAUCCUUGUCUCCUCUUCAGCUUAUAAAUAAUAUCGAAUCACAUGCACUCCAUUUAUCUCACUCCCUCCAAAAGGUCCUAAAAAUCUAAAGACACUGUAAAUGCUGCAACUAUAGAUAACCAGUUUGUGCUCCAACGCCUUCAACUCCAUCAAAGAAUAUCCGUCCUCCCUUCUCUUCAGACAAGACUCAAAGAAGUACUCUAGAGCUCGCCUCUCGCAAACUGCGAGGAUGAGGAGGUUGCGGAGGAGAAGAGGAAGUAGGAAGGAAGACGAGGAAGUGCGACGUAAGAUGGAAGCAAAGAUGGAGAUGGUGAACCUAAAGCUUUACUUGGAGAACCGAUGCAUCAUGGAGGAGAACGAGAGGCUGAGGAAGAAAGCUCUCCUCCUCCGCCAAGAGAACCAGGCUUUGCUCUCCCACCUCCGCAUCACCAAUUUCACCACCACCACCACCACUACCACCACCCUUCCCAACGAUUAAAUGAUGCUCUUCUCUUCCAACUUUUGAUUUAUGGAUGUAUGUGAUCCUUCUUGUUUGCUGUUCUCUUUGAUAGUAUGCAUGUAUAAUAAGCUUUUUUAAUUAUUAGGAGUCAGUUUGAGAGUUUGACAUGCUUUGUUUACUCCAGAUUUUAUUACCGAAAAGCAUAUAAACUGUCAGUUUGGCA
This is a non-coding RNA of Phoenix dactylifera (date palm), 752 nucleotides long. Lineage: Eukaryota; Viridiplantae; Streptophyta; Magnoliopsida; Arecales; Arecaceae. The record is from RefSeq and is a predicted model, not a curated record.